This 253-nucleotide ribosomal RNA is filed under the name uncultured prokaryote. RNAcentral's name for it is "partial 16S ribosomal RNA". It matches the Rfam family "Bacterial small subunit ribosomal RNA", at positions 525 to 777 of the family's 1533-position model. The record is from RNAcentral.
ACGAAGGGGGCUAGCGUUGCUCGGAAUUACUGGGCGUAAAGCGCACGUAGGCGGCUUUCUAAGUCGGGGGUGAAAUCCUGGAGCUCAACUCCAGAACUGCCUUCGAUACUGGAAAGCUCGAGUCCGGGAGAGGUGAGUGGAACUGCGAGUGUAGAGGUGAAAUUCGUAGAUAUUCGCAAGAACACCAGUGGCGAAGGCGGCUCACUGGCCCGGUACUGACGCUGAGGUGCGAAAGCGUGGGGAGCAAACAGGA